CCUUUUGAGAUUCUUCGGAUGAUCGAUUGGUGACUGAGUGGCGGACGGGUGAGUAACGCGUGGGUAACCUGCCCUGUACAGGGGGAUAACAGCUGGAAACGGCUGCUAAUACCGCAUAAGCGCACGAGGGGACAUCUCCUUGUGUGAAAAACUCCGGUGGUACAGGAUGGGCCCGCGUCUGAUUAGCUGGUUGGCAGGGUAACGGCCUACCAAGGCAACGAUCAGUAGCCGGUCUGAGAGGAUGAACGGCCACAUUGGAACUGAGACACGGUCCAAACUCCUAUGGGAGGCAGCAGUGGGGAAUAUUGCACAAUGGGGGAAACCCUGAUGCAGCAACGCCGCGUGAGUGAAGAAGUAUUUCGGUAUGUAAAGCUCUAUCAGCAGGGAAGAUAAUGACGGUACCUGACUAAGAAGCUCCGGCUAAAUACGUGCCAGCAGCCGCGGUAAUACGUAUGGAGCAAGCGUUAUCCGGAUUUACUGGGUGUAAAGGGUGCGUAGGUGGCAGUGCAAGUCAGAUGUGAAAGGCCGGGGCUCAACCCCGGAGCUGCAUUUGAAACUGCUCGGCUAGAGUACAGGAGAGGCAGGCGGAAUUCCUAGUGUAGCGGUGAAAUGCGUAGAUAUUAGGAGGAACACCAGUGGCGAAGGCGGCCUGCUGGACUGUU
This 662-nucleotide ribosomal RNA is filed under the name uncultured bacterium. Its description in RNAcentral is "bacterial SSU rRNA". It matches the Rfam family "Bacterial small subunit ribosomal RNA", at positions 62 to 738 of the family's 1533-position model. The record is from RNAcentral.